AUACGUAUGUCGCAAGCGUUAUCCGGAUUUAUUGGGCGUAAAGCGCGUCUAGGCGGCCUAGUAAGUCUGAUGUGAAAAUGCGGGGCUCAACCCCGUAUUGCGUUGGAAACUGCUAAACUAGAGUACUGGAGAGGUAGGCGGAACUACAAGUGUAGAGGUGAAAUUCGUAGAUAUUUGUAGGAAUGCCGAUGGGGAAGCCAGCCUACUGGACAGAUACUGACGCUAAAGCGCGAAAGCGUGGGUAGCAAACAGGAUUAGAUACCCUGGUAGUCCACGCCGUAAACGAUGAUUACUAGGUGUUGGGGGUCGAACCUCAGCGCCCAAGCUAACGCGAUAAGUAACCCGCCUGGGGAGUACGUACGCAAGUAUGAAACUCAAAUGAAUUGACGGGG
RNAcentral lists this ribosomal RNA (392 nucleotides) under uncultured bacterium. RNAcentral describes it as "partial 16S ribosomal RNA". It matches the Rfam family "Bacterial small subunit ribosomal RNA", at positions 523 to 918 of the family's 1533-position model. The record is from RNAcentral.